This 252-nucleotide non-coding RNA is filed under the name Chloroflexota bacterium. Its description in RNAcentral is "Chloroflexi bacterium T-box sequence". It matches the Rfam family "T-box leader". From Rfam's summary of the family: Uncharged tRNA acts as the effector for transcription antitermination of genes in the T-box leader family. T-boxes are found upstream of many aminoacyl-tRNA synthetase genes and some amino acid biosynthetic genes usually in Gram-positive bacteria. The record is from RNAcentral. Lineage: Bacteria; Bacillati; Chloroflexota.
AAAAAGGCGUUGAUGGGGAGUAGUAGAGGCGCUCCGUUGCCACAGAGAGUUGGGAGUAGGUGUGAGCCCAAUGACAAUGGUCCUUGAACUCGUCCUUGAGCUGUUAGGCUGAGAGAGGCAUCGGGGGAUAAGGGUGGCGUGUUAAGAAGACCUCUUUAGGCCUGGCCGGGGAGCGCUCGUUAAAGCGCAGCGAGGGGAUGCGUUGAGCAUCAAGAAGGGUGGCACCGCGGGCAGACAUUAUCCGUCCCUUGA